UGCAGAAUCACAAUUGUCAUUUCAAUCAAACAUAUUUGGUUCAUAACAGAUGGGGCAUAGAGUAAUUGGAGCAUAUCAGCAACGAAUGAAAUGUUUUGGAGCAUAUCAAUAACAAAUGAAACAUUUCGGAGCUUAUCAAUGGCGUAUGAAAUGUUCCGGAGCAUAUCAAUGGCGUAUGGAACAUUUCGAAGCAUAUCAACAAUGAAU
This 207-nucleotide long non-coding RNA is filed under the name Musa acuminata (dwarf banana). Its description in RNAcentral is "long non-coding RNA (MACU_LNC008358)". The record is from RNAcentral. Lineage: Eukaryota; Viridiplantae; Streptophyta; Magnoliopsida; Zingiberales; Musaceae.